CCUACGGGAGGCAGCAGUGGGGAAUAUUGGACAAUGGGCGAAAGCCUGAUCCAGCAAUGCCGCGUGUGUGAAGAAGGCCUGCGGGUUGUAAAGCACUUUCAGUUGGGAAGAUGAUGACGUUACCAACAGAAGAAGCACCGGCUAAAUCCGUGCCAGCAGCCGCGGUAAUACGGAUGGUGCGAGCGUUAAUCGGAAUUACUGGGCGUAAAGCGCGCGUAGGCGGCUAAGUCAGUCAGAAGUGAAAGCCCCGGGCUCAACCUGGGAAUUGCUUUUGAUACUGCUUAGCUAGAGUUUGGUAGAGGAUAGUGGAAUUCCAGGUGUAGCGGUGAAGUGCGUAGAUAUCUGGAGGAACAUCAGUGGCGAAGGCGACUGUCUGGACCAAAACUGACGCUGAGGUGCGAAAGCGUGGGUAGCAAACAGGAUUAGAUACCCUGGUAGUCCACGCCGUAAACGAUGUCAACUAGCCGUCGGACCUAUUUACAGGUUUGGUGGCGCAGCUAACGCGAUAAGUUGACCGCCUGGGGAGUACGGCCGCAAGGUUAAAACUCAAAGGAAUUGACGG
Molecule: ribosomal RNA, 562 nt
Filed under: uncultured bacterium
Lineage: Bacteria
Description: bacterial SSU rRNA
Rfam family: Bacterial small subunit ribosomal RNA
Source: RNAcentral